AACAGGUUCACCCAGGAAAUUCAGAAUUGGGAAACGAAAAGCAAGAGUAACAGUGCAAAUACUGUUUGUCGAGAUGCGGCUGGUUGAAAGGAUGGAAUUUAGAGCAUGCAGUACACUUUCAUUCCCGUCUGAAUGAAAAUACAUUAUAAGUUAUCA
Non-coding RNA from Camellia sinensis, 156 nucleotides. NCBI's taxonomy places the organism in Eukaryota, Viridiplantae, Streptophyta, Magnoliopsida, Ericales, Theaceae. The record is from RefSeq and is a predicted model, not a curated record.